This is a long non-coding RNA of Daphnia magna, 857 nucleotides long. RefSeq lists it as uncharacterized. The record is from RefSeq and is a predicted model, not a curated record. NCBI's taxonomy places the organism in Eukaryota, Metazoa, Arthropoda, Branchiopoda, Diplostraca, Daphniidae. The transcript is spliced from 5 exons.
UUCCAUGUAUAAGAAUAGACGAUUAUCGAUCGAAAUCAAAAACUGUUUAUUUACAUUAUCACCAUAAGAAAAUGAUUUCAGAAUCGGAGGGUGACAACAGUUGUGAGGAAGGACAAGACGUAGCAAGGAGGAGGCUGGAUGAAGCUUUGAUACAGAAGAAAAAACAGUUCCAGAAUUUAAGGAACAUUAAAGGAAGAACAAUAAAACGGCGAGAUACGGAUAAACAACAGAGACUUACUGCGUUCAAGGAGUCUUACAAAGGGAAAAAGUGGUACCUCAAAGAAACAAGCCAUGGUCGGUUCUUGAGUGGCAAAACCAUUGGAAUUCCCUUGACCAAAGACAACAGGACAAUCUAGAUCGCAAGAAGUCUCACUGCCAUUUAAGUAUUGGUUCGAAGAUUAAUGAGAUGGCUGCAGAUUACAAUGCCUCAGUAAUUUGCUUAAUCCGUUACCCCAAUGGAACUCAACACACCAAGUAUGUGUUAGUAAGCGGAGGUGGAAUUAAAUAUUCCAAAUCAAGAGACGGUGUUCUAACUGAACAACUCUGGCAUAGAUAUUGGAACAAAAAAAAAAAUAAACGACAACAGUUAUGUGAGGAGAAUGGCCUGUGGCUUGAGAGAGCCAGUAAAAGAAAAAGAAAAGAGAGAACAGUGGAAAGGACAGAGAAAGAGAAAAGUAUGCAAUCAGGAAACAGGAAACAGAGGAAGAGAGAAAGACAAUUUGAUAAUGAGAGCGUAGAGAGUGAAGAAGAAUACAAUGAAAGAUUGGACAGCGGAAUAGAGAAUCAGAAAAUAGGAAAAUCACACAACGAGACAGUAGAAAGCGAAGAAGAUAACGACGAAAGAUUGGAAAGGGGGG